ACUCAAAUGAAUUGACGGGGGCUCACACAAGCGGUGGAGCAUGUUGCUUAAUUCGAAGCAACGCGAAGAACCUUACCUGGGCUUGACAUGCAUGGAUUAGUUCCUGGAAACAGGAAUGACGCUCGCAAGAGUGGAACAUGCACAGGUGCUGCAUGGCUGUCGUCAGCUCGUGCUGUGAAGUGUCGGGUUAAGUCCCUUAACGAGCGCAACCCCUGUCGCUAGUUGCCAACGCGUAAUGGCGGGGACUCUAGCGAGACUGCCGGUGUCAAACCGGAGGAAGGUGGGGAUGACGUCAAGUCCUCAUGGCCCUUACGCCCAGGGUUGCAAACGUGCUACAAUGGCAUGGACAAAGCGAUGCGAGGCCGCGAGGCGGAGCAAAUCGCAAAAAACAUGCCCCAGUUCGGAUUGCAGUCUGCAACUCGACUGCAUGAAGUUGGAAUCGCUAGUAAUCGCGGAUCAGCCACGCCGCGGUGAAUACGUUCCUGAGCCUUGUACACACCGCCCGU
RNAcentral lists this ribosomal RNA (506 nucleotides) under uncultured bacterium. RNAcentral describes it as "partial 16S ribosomal RNA". It matches the Rfam family "Bacterial small subunit ribosomal RNA", at positions 899 to 1397 of the family's 1533-position model. The record is from RNAcentral.